CAUAGCGACUAUCGUGGCUAUAUCAAUAAGCGGAGGAAAAGAAACUAACAAGGAUUCCCUUAGUAACGGCGAGUGAAGCGGGAAGAGCUCAAAUUUGAAAUCUUCAAGGUUUUACCUUGACGAAUUGUAGUUUAAAGAAGUGUUUUCUGUUGGAGUUUUGGUAAAAGUUCUUUGGAAUAGGACAUCAUAGAGGGUGAGAAUCCCGUAUUUGACCAGUUAUUUCCAGCUGUGUGAUACACUUUCAAAGAGUCGGAUUGUUUGGGAAUGCAGUCCAAAAUGGGUGGUAAAUUUCAUCUAAAGCUAAAUAUUGGCGAGAGACCGAUAGCGAACAAGUACCAGUGAGGGAAAGAUGAAAAGAACUUUGAAAAGAGAGUUAAACAGUACGUGAAAUUGUCAAAAGGGAAGCGUUUGACACCAGUGUUGUUUUCUCGAGAAAUCAAUUAAAAAUGAUGGGAUUUUGUGUUGUAUUGACUUUAUCAGCUUUCUGCACUUUUUUCUUAUCUUUUUUAAUGCACUUUUCGUUUAACAAGUCAACAUCAAUUUCUUUUGUUGUAAAAGAGUCAUUGGAAGGUGGCUUUUUCUUCGGAAAAAGUGUUUAUAGCCUUUGGCUUCUGCAAUCGGAGAGAUUGAGGUCUGCAGCGUAGAUCCUUCGGGGUUAGAUACAUUUGUGCUAAGCUAUAGUUCUUUAUAGACAACUUGUUGACUAUAAUCAAUCCUGUAACUUACUCGCUUAUGCUAUUUUACCUACGCUUAGGAUGUUGACGCGCGUGUGUGCGUG
This 778-nucleotide ribosomal RNA is filed under the name uncultured Neocallimastigales. RNAcentral's name for it is "partial large subunit ribosomal RNA". The stretch from base 5 to 697 matches the Rfam family "Eukaryotic large subunit ribosomal RNA", at positions 24 to 664 of the family's 3401-position model. Lineage: Eukaryota; Fungi; Neocallimastigomycota; Neocallimastigomycetes; Neocallimastigales. The record is from RNAcentral.